This 11007-nucleotide long non-coding RNA is filed under the name Ananas comosus (pineapple). RNAcentral describes it as "long non-coding RNA (ACOM_LNC012174)". The record is from RNAcentral. Lineage: Eukaryota; Viridiplantae; Streptophyta; Magnoliopsida; Poales; Bromeliaceae.
GGUACACAAAUCCGUCUGCGGAAACGCAUUAUUCUUUGAUCAUCCACAAGGAAAUCACCGGUGUAACCAUCAACCAUUUUAGCUUGAAUCUUUUGCAACUCCACAUCGUGAGCUUGCUUUUCUUUAAUUCUUCCCAAUAGUGUAGGUUGCACCACUAAUGUCAUCAAUCUCAAGGGUGUAUUAGGAGCCACCACCUCCAACUCCAACCGCUUUAUUUGCUCAAUCAACUGCGGUUGAGUGACUACAAGCAUCGCUAAGUUUUCCGUCGAUUUCUAACUUAGCGCGUCCGCAACCACGUUUGCUUUGCCCGGGUGGUAGAGAAUCGUUAGAUCAUAAUCCUUAAGUAGCUCCAACCAUCUGCGCUGCCUCAAGUUCAACUCCUUCUGAGUAAAUAAGUAUUUUAAGCUCUUUUGAUCCGUAUAAACUUCACAUCGCUCGCCAUAAAGAUAAUGACGCCACAGCUUUAAUGCAAAGACUACGGCCGCCAAUUUCAAAUCGUGUGUAGGGUAGUUCCUUUCAUAAUCUUUUAAUUGGCGAGAAGCAUACGCGAUGACCUCCCGUCCUACAUCAAAACACAGCCCAAUCCAUUAAAGGAAGCAUCACUGUAAAUCACAUACCUUACUCCAGCGACUGGCAGGGUCAAGAUCGGGGCAGUCGUCAAUCGAGCCUUCAACUCUUAGAAGCUUCUCUCGCACGUAUCAUUCCAAAUGAACUUAGUGCCUUUGUGCGUGAGCCGCGUGAGAGGAGUAGAUAACUUAGCAAACCCCUCAACAAAUCUCCGGUAGUAGCCAGCCAAACCAAUGAAACUUUGUAUCUCGGUGACGCUAGUCGGUCGAGGCUAAUCCUUGAUAGCUUCAAUAUUCCUAGGAUCCACAGCUAUAUCCGAUCCCGAAAUCAGAUGUCCAAGGAAUGCCACCUCUCGAAGCCAAAACUCACAUUUCUUCAACUUAGCAAACAGUUUCUUUUCCCGAAGCAUUUGAAGUACUAGCCUUAAAUGCUCCUCGUAAUCCCUAUCACUUCGGGAAUAAAUCAAGAUGUCGUCGAUGAACACCACGACGAACCUGUCUAGAUAAGGCUUGAAAACAAGGUUCAUUAGGUCCAUAAAAGCUGCCGGGGCAUUAGUAAGCCCAAACGGCAUAACCGUGAACUCAUAAUGUUCAUACCGUGUUCUAAAAGCAGUCUUCGAUACAUCCCCAGGUGCAAUCUUUAACUGGUGGUAUCCCGACUGCAAGUCUAUCUUGGAAUACACACUCGAUUCUUGAAGUUGAUCAAAAAGAUCAUCAAUUCUCGGCAACGGAUACUUGUUCUUGAUCGUGACUUUAUUAAGUUCACGAUAGUCCACACACAAGCGAAGUGAUCCGUCCUUCUUCUUAACAAAUAAAAUCGGUACUCCCCAAGGUGAAAUACUCAAGCGAAUAAAACCUUUAUCAAGAAGAUCCUGUAGUUUGUGCCCUCAGCUCUUUCAACUCUGCCGGUGCCAUCCUAUAGGGCGCCUUUGAGAUUGGAGUAGUCCCAGGGACAAGAUCUACCACAAACUCAAUCUCCCUAUCAGGUAGCAUACCUGGAAGCUCCGCUGAAACACAUCACAAAACUCCCGUACUACCAGCAUAUCCUCAAUCCUAGGGGUGUCAUCCUCACCCCUCAGCACAACACUAGCCAAAUAGGCUAAGCAACCCCUGUUGAUCAACUGCCUAGCUUGAGACGAGCUGAUCGUCAUCACAAACAGCAAACUCUGGCAUCCUCUAAACACUACCUCCAUCUUCCUCGGUUAUCUAAAUGUAACCGUUCGAUUCUUACAAUCGAUAGUGGCGAAAUACUUAGUUAACCAAUCCAUGCCCAAAACCACAUCAAACUCUCCAAGUUUGUGUAGAGCUAGUAGAUCCAUGGGCAUGAUCAAAUCUCCUACCCGAACAAGGCAACUGGGGCAAAACUCUCGAAUAUCCAAAGAAUGGUCGGGGACUGCAAUACGUCCCGGAUGCAACAAGGAAACUAACGGGAUGCCAUACAACUCGGCAAACAACCGAUCUAUAAAUGAAUACGAUGCACCGGUAUCAAAUAAAGCUUGAACUCUAAUGCCAUUUAAUAAAAUGUUACCUGCCACCAUAUUCUCGGCUGCUGCCGCCUUCUCUGUCUGGGCCGCAUACAUGUCCCCGCUCGGAGCCUGUUGUGACCCCUCGAUCUGUCGCUGGAUGGGUGGUCGCCCAGGCUGGUACUGUGCCGAUGGAGUCUCCUGACUAGAUGCUGGUAAUGCCGGUGCCGAUGUAGAUGACGAUGCCGAUGACGAACCCCUCGGGCACUCGAUCCGGAAGUGGCCAUCCUGGCCACAAAGGAAACACCGGUCACCCCGCUGUGGACACUGCAGUGGGAUGUGAGGACUACCACAGAUCACGCACUGGAAAGGUCAGCGACGAUCAGGUCCUCCUCGCAGCGCCGACGAGCCGCGCCCUCGCGACUAGCUCCUAGGGUGCUUCGGCGGCCUCAUAGAGUGCAUUUGACUCGCACCCUUAACCGUGGGCCUCUUGCCCUUACACUUAUCCAAACCUUCUCUCCGCUCCUGAAUAUCCGCCGCGCCGCUCUCCACAAUGAGCGCGCGGUUCAUCACCUCCCGAUAGGUUUGGAGGUUGGAGGAUUGCACAAACCGAAAGAUCGACGGUUGCAAUCCACGCUAAAAAAUGCGGGCCUUGUCCUCGUUGUCUAGCAUGACGAAAAGCACGCAGUGAAAAAGCCGAGAGAACUCCAUCUCGUACUCGGCCACUGUCCUGUCCCCCUGGCGCAAGCCGCGCAUAUCCUGCUCCAUCUUUCUCUUAACACUAUCAGGAAAGUAGUGCUCCAAUAGAAGUUCCUUGAACCUCCUCCAAGUAAUCGCGGUCUGUGUUCGGGUUGUCUUGAAUAUCCAACCACCAACGAUAGGCCUCGCCGUCCAAGUGAUGAGUGGCGAGCCAAACUCGGUCUUUCUCCUCCACAAAGUAUCGCAGAAAAGCUUUUCCAUGUGCAUCAACCACUUCUCCACGAUCCAGUGGUCGGUUUUCUCUCCGUCGAAGAUCCUGGGAUUGCACCUCCUGAACUCAUUGAGGCGAUCCAUGAGCCGGUCCCACUCCUCUCCAGCAGCCAUCACGGGAAAAAUUGCCCGCGCUGGAGGCACAUGAACUGGUGGUGCCACAACGUCCUCCUCCCGAGGCGCAACUACGAGUGCCGCUCAUGAUGAACCGAGUGGGGGAGAUGGCGCCCUCGGUGCAACGUCGUCAACUGGCAUAGGUGGUGGGGGAAUCUGGGCCUCCCUGGAAGCUACCUAUUGCAGAAGAAAAUCUUCGAGGCGCUUCAUCCGCGCCUCCUGCCGGCGCGCCGCAUCGGCUUGCUAUCUGGCCACCUCCGCCUGCUGCGUCACCAAGUCAGUGAGGGCCGGCUGCGUCACCAAGUCAGUGAGGGCCGCAAGCUGGCUCCUCAACUCACAGACCUCACCAGAUCCGGAGGUAACGGAGGUCUUCACCUCCUCAAAGUUUGCCGCAUUAUCCACUCCAACUGAUUUAGAGCGAGUUUUCGACAUAUUACUACAACAUCAUAAAAGUGCAAGUUAGUAAAACCCACGCAAUCGCAACCCCACUCAAGCCAAUAAUACCCAAAUCAUGCGAAAUGCCAAAGUAAGGAAGCGUUUUUUACUACUAACUCCCGAUGUUACGUUGUCGGCCGCCAACGUAACCCUCCGCGAAGUUAGAAGCUAUACACUUCGAUUCAACUCCAAUAUUUUUAGAGUUAUCAUAAACCCAAUCAUAAUACUUUCGCUUACAAGUCAAAUAGACCUCGUCUCUCACGAGCCUAUUUUCUAUAAUCCAACCGGUCUAAGGUUUGCUAGGUCCAUUAAGACUUAACCCUAGGCUCUGAUACCAAAAUAAUCUGUCACGCCCCGGGACCUAGCGAAAGCCCGCCCGGUGCGUGUCCAGACCCGCCAUAUGCCUACAACAUAUAAGGCGUCUACAACAAAGCGAUAAAUAAAACAAUAAUAAAAGAGCAUCUAUGAGUAUCAGAGCAUACAACCACUAGCUUCUAGAAUAAAGAUGGAUAUAUAUAAGAACUAAUCCACUAACAUAAACAUAAGGUAGUACAACAUAAAAAUCCAAAAUACAAGUGCUAAAGGUAUCAUAGUGGUGGUCUCUAUACAUGGAUACAAAACUCUCACUCUCUACAUAGAUACAAAAAUAAAGAGAUGAACCACCUAAAAGCGAUGCUCCUCGCAACUAACUAGAGGCAACUCCCUUGCCGCGAUCCCGAGCCUCUUCCGGCGUGGAAGGCUUUGAAAGAAAACAACAAAAUAUGAGACGUGAGAACUAUUAAACAAUAGUUUCCAGUGGGCAAUUGCUGACCUAGCGAAAAUGCACCACUAGGCUAAAAGCAAAAGUAGUAAGUUCUAACAAUUAAUUGAAAGGAAUAACAUGAAUAUUUAACAUGAAUUGAACUUACUAAAUACUAUACCUCUACUUUAGCAUGAAUUUUCGCGAUUAUAAAUGCUAUUUUAAUAUAAAUAUGCAUAAGUAAAACCAACAUGACGCCCACAAUGUAACUACUAAAUGUCAUUGUUUACUAAUUUGUCUAAUGUCCACUUUGCAUUUUAGUUCAUUAGUAUCCCAAUCAUGUAGGACCUAUCCGUGGGUAGUCCGGCUUGUGCUGUGCCUAAUGGCCCCAUGUUAGUCAACAUUACCACCCAAGGAAUGAGCCUCUCCCACGGUAUCCCAUUUCGGCGCUCAAUCCCGCACGGGCGAGCUUAUGUCGCGAUGGCUAUUUCCGGAGUGCCGGCUUGUGGAGAGCGACCCUCACAAGCAUGUGCGAAUGAGCACAAUUGCAAGCAAGCGUAAAUAUCCGUCUCAAGUCCAAUGUCAUCAUGUCUAAAACAUGGUAUAAGCACUAGUGACCACAAAGGUGUAGUUCUAUGUCACAAUGUAGAGUUCAAUCCAUUUACUCAUCUAAUGCCACUUCAUGACAUUAGGUUUACUAUAUCAAACAUAAUCCAAGUCUAAUGCCCCUUUAUAACAUUAUGUUUUCUCCUAUGUCAAACAUAAGUUCUAAGUCCGAUAGCAUAUCAUACAUGUCAUUUUCACUACAUGAACCAUGAGAUAUAGAAGAAUGCUAUCCAUUGCAUAAUCACAAUGCACUAAUCUCUCUACUAUAUAGAGGUAAAAUUUCAUUAUACAUAAUAUAUGCAUUUUAAGCAUUCUAUAUUUCACAUAUGCCCUAUCUAACAUGAAUAUGCAUGAUUUUCUAUUUUACAAUAAUUGAAAAGACAUAGGUGGAAUUUUUCUUAUUCGGUGAGGUCAAACCCACCGAGACUCCUCGAAACCCUUUGUUUGCACCGACGAAGGUGCCCACACGUCUCCUAGCUCCCUAGAGAAGAUUCUAGGAGGGUUAGACAAAAUAAACGAACACCCUACGUGUUCAACUCAAAAUCAACUCCAGAAUAAGGCAAAUUAGAAAAACCCUCUCAAAUUCCAAAAGAAGGCUAGAUCACUUCAAAUCUACCCCAACGAGUUAUUCUACACCUAUCAAUUAAGCCCCAAGGGUUACAAAUCAAAAAUCCCCAAAAUAAACCCUCGAUUUCAAAUUCUAGGUUUUGAUCUUAAGAAAUCCAUCAAAACAUGAAUCUAAUAAAAGAAACAUGUUACUAACCUCUUUAGAAGCUCCAAACAAGGUUAGAAAUCAACUAGGAUUGAAGUUCUCUCCUCCAACAAGCUCCAAACCCUGCUCAAAUGCUUCUCCAAUGGUGGAAAAUCACCCAAAAAGCUAAAAAGAAGCAAAAGAGGUGAUCAACCCUCUAAAAAUCUAAGAAAAAGAGAAGAAAAUCAAAGAGGAGAAGUGGAGGGUUCACAAACCUGGUUCUUCUCUGUUCUGAGCUCAGGAAGCCCUAGAAGGGGCGUGGGAUGCUUUAUAGGUUGCCACAAUAGCAAAAACACCCCUCAAAAAUAACAGUCUGCGAACUGCACUGCGUACCGGUACACGGGAAAGAGUAUCGGUACCAAGCCACUGUACACGCAAACCCAAGCCUCGGGUUCACAAAGAAACACAUUGGGUACCGGUACAAGUCCGAUGCUGUUUCAGUACCAGGUCUGGUUCCGGUACAGGCCCGAUGCUAUACCGGUACUCUGCUCUACAGAGUCCAACCCGAGAGCAGCUAAUAAUCUUCACUUUAGAGACUUUGGUGCUAAGUUUUAAACCUUAAUUCUCGGGAUGCAAGCCAUAGGUCGGAACACUGUCAACGACCCUCCAGAAAGUGUGAAAAGGCUCGGAACACAUAUCAAAGACUCGAACCUAGCAAUUUGCAAAGGUCUAGUGUGUUACAAUACAGUAGAGAGAGAUAUAUGCAUUGUUAACAUGCAUGAGAAUAGCAUUCUAUUAUAUGGUUUGGGAAUCAUGUUUUUGUAAAGAAAAUGACUUAUAUGAUAUGCUCUUGGACUUAGAACUCAUAUUUGACAUAGUGGACAAGAAUGUCAUAAAGUGGCAUGGAACAUAGUAAAUAUGAAAACUUUACUUGAUGACAUAGUGAUAGGCCAUUGAGUCACUAGUUUUUAUACCAUAUUUUAGACAUGAUGACAUUGGACUUGAGACGGAUAUUUACGCUUGCUCGCCUGUGCGGGAUUGGGCGCCGAAAUGGGAUGCCGUGGGGAGGGCUCAUUCCUAGGGUGGGAAUGUUGACUACCACAAGGCCAUUAGGCACGACGCAAGCCGGACUACCCACGGGUAGGUCCUACAUGACUGGAAUACUAUUGAACUAAAAUGCAAAGUGGACAUUAGACAAAUUAGUAAGCAAUGACAUUUACUAGUUACACUGUGGACAUCAUGUUGGUUUUACUUAUGCAUAUUCAUGUUAGAGUAGCGUUUAUAUUCGUGAAAAUUCAUGCUAAAGUAGAGGCAUAGUAUUUAGUAAGUUCAAUUCAUGUUAAAUAUUCAUGUUAUUCCUUUCAAUUAAUUGUUAGAACUUAAUACUUUUGGUUUUUAGCCUAGUGGUGAAUUUUCGCUGAGGUCAGCAAUUGCCCACUGGGAACUAUUGUUUAAUAGUUCUCAUGCCCCCUGUUUUGUUGUUUUUCUUACAGAGCCUUCCACUCCGGGAGAGGCUCGGGAUCGCGGAAAAGGAAUCGCCUCGAGCUAGUUAGCGAGGGAUUUUACGAUAGGUGUUUCACCUCUCUUUAUUUUUUUUAUUGGGAGAGGAGGAGAGUUUUUGUACCCAUGUAUAGAGACCACCAUUUUUGGAUAUUAUAACACUUGUACUUGGGGUUAUGUUGUUGUACUACCUUAUGUUUAUGUUAGCGAAUUAGUGCUUUUAUUUAUCCUACUUGUUAUUAGAAUCUAGUUGUACACUUGCUCUAAUAUCUCUAGAUACUUGUUACUCGCUGUUUAUUUAUCGCUUUAUUGUAGAUGCCUUAUAUGUUGUAGGCAUAUAGCGGGUCUGGACACGCACCGGGCAGGCUUUCGCUAGGCCCCGGGGCGUGACAAAGAGGGAGAGAAAUUAGAUAGGAGGGAGUAUUCACUGCUGUGAACAAGAGAGGAGGGGGGUGUGGGGCUUUUAUAAGCUGCCACAAUUGCAAAUAAGCCCUUCAUUUUCUUUUAUUUGCAGCAAACCAACCUGCUGUUUCGCAGCACUGUGUACUGGUACGCGGGUGGGUGUCACCGGUACGCCCCUAUUCAUCUGUCCAAACCCGAGAGUUGCUAUUCUCGGUCUGCUACAGGGUACCGGUACUACCCAGGACAGUCACCGGUUAACAGCUUGACAGAGGCCAAACUCGAGAGCUGGCUUCUCGGGUGGCCUGCCUGGUACCGGUACUCCCCUGGUGCUUCACCGGUUAACAAUGCUCCAAACUUGAGUUUGGCAUUGUUUCGACUCCAAUUCGCGCCGAUCAAUACUAAAACCCCUCUAAAGCAUUCGGGACUUAACUUUAACCCUUCCAACAUUGUUGGAAUGUCAGAUGGACUUUGUCCAAUUGUUUCUCUCGCACACUUUGGUCAAUUUGACUGAAGUUCGAUAUAGUCUACCGAGCUUUCGGUAUAUUACACUGUUGCUUAAAACAUGCAAAUAUUACAACUAAUUCACUAAAUACUAUUCAAAUAAUACAUAAACAAGUUUUAGGCUCGUUACUGCGAUCCAUGCCGUAAUGGACCCAACCAACCAGUUGAUUUGAUUCUCUCGACAUGAUGAUGCUCGUUAUCGCUGUCUGGGGCACAAACGACGGCAGGAAGGCUUCGAAACAGUAAGAAAGUCCACCAAAGGCUUGAUCCCAGAAGUGACCGAGAUCGUCGCACUCACCGGAACCUCACCAAUCAUAGCGAAGGUGAGCACAGCACUCCGCAGGGUCCCAAGAGUGCGAUGCUCACGCUUAAGAAGUUCGUUGAAGUCUUCAAUGGCCAAAAAACCGAGCCCACCAAAACUCAUCCCUACGGGACCUAGCCUACAAGGCUAGGGCUCCCUAUAGCUGACGGCCGGCGGCACGACAGGGGAAGCUCUAGCCAAAGGUGGGUCGCCGCAUCCAUGGGAGUCGGCCGGGACCCCUGUCCGGCGGUAGAAGGUAGCGGCGGUGCUACGCGACGACGGCACUCCCAAACAACCCUGCGGCUACGGCAGAGUCCCACACUGUCGCGGCGGCUCGGGGGCGCUAGGGACGGCGCCACCGGCCUCCCAGGAACCGACGGCGAUGGACAGUGGCCGCGCGGCGCGACGGCGGCGGCUGAGUUACUCCCCACGGCCGCACGAGGUCUGCUGGCAUGUCCUUUGCUGCGGCUGCUCCCCAGGGCACCGCGGCACUGGGAAAGAGUCGAGGUUGACCGCCCAGUGUUCGGUAGUGACGCCGGCAGCAGCCGGAUACAAGAGGCUCGAGUCACCCUCUUCUAUAGCAGUACAAAGAGAGAGAGAGAGAGAGAGAGAGAGAGAGAGAGAGAGAGAGAUAUUGGCUUCUCUUCUCCAAGGCUUUCUCUCUGCUGGAAUGAGAGGAGGGGAUUAGGGUUAGGGUUAGCAAUUAACCCUAAUCCUACACUUAUAUAUAUAUAUAUAUAUAUAUAAAGUGCAACUACUAUACUCUUAUGAGUAUAGUAGCUGCACUACUCAUAAGUCCUCAUCCCUUAGAUCUCCUUCAGGAUCCGUGCGGAUAUGAUGGAGAAGAGAGGUAACAGAGCAAGUGUCACGACCCGCAACCACCCGCCUAUUUGGCCGAGGUCGCGGCGCCGCCGACAGACCGCCGAACGGACAGAGUCUCCCCUGUACGUCCUAGGCGUCGCAAUCAAUACAAGUACAAGAAGUUCCAACCAGGAACAGNGCACAAGUCACUUCUGACUUAUGUUUUACUCCUCUAAAUCCAAUAAAAAUAGUAUCUCACACUAUUUUUAUUUAUUUUUAUUUUUAUAUUUAAAAUCUGGUAGAUUACAUUCCACCGCAAUCUUACCGGAACCAUUCAAUGGCUUUUAAACCAAAUGUACACCGUAACUUCAUAAUUUUAGAAGUCCGGUACCUUACAGCAAGUAACGGAAACGUCGUUACCCCCUUCUGAAAUUGUUGAUGCUUCUGAAAUUGUUGUUGUUGUUGUUGUUGUUGAUGCUGUUGCUGGUGCUAUUGUUGUUUAUGCUGCUGCUUCUACAGUUAUGGUAGAACCAGAGAAUUGAUAAGGUACCACCAGAAAUUGAUAACCAUGCCUAAAUAGGCUGCCUCUAGUGCCAGCUUGAUUUCACAAUGCAUCAAUGCCUAAAUAACCAACUUAGAUUAACAUAGGCCACCUCUAGUCAAACAUAACUGGAACCAGAUUUUUUGGUGAAAAGUGAGAAAACAGAGGGUUAUCAAACUGGUAAUAAUGUCAGAAGCACUUGAAUCAUUAGAAAAAUUUGUACUUAUUUGCCAAGUUUCAUUAGGACACACUAACAAUACAGACAUUUAUAUUUAGCUUGUAAAUAAGAUAUCCACCAACUAGUUUCUUUGUUUUAUUUUUCAAGUAUUCUUUCACCAUCUUUUCAUGCAAUCGGUAAGUAAAAAAAAUUCUGCAGGAAAAAAGCUUUUAUAAACAUAAGCUAAAUUAAAUUCUGACAAUCCAAUAUAUUAGUUUAUAAAAUUAUCUAAGAAGAUUGUCUCUAUACAAGAAUAAACCGUGUAUACUAUAGAAUAUGAACUGGAUACCCUUCGUACAAGUAAAAAUUCUAUUUGUACAUUCUAUUACCAUGGAUUACAACAUAAUUGCACUUGACAUCAAAUUUAGAACUUUAAUCAAGGAUCUACUUCAUAUCCGCUGAGAAAAUUGAUCAAGUCUUCUUCACUUCUAAUCCAUUUGACAUCAGACCAUUUUGGGCCGUUGGUACUCCCACCCCUCGGCGACCUAAGAGGAGGGCUACUGCCGCCAGGGGCGGUUCUUGCCAGAUCUGAGAAAGGGGCGCUUAAGUAGAAGAGAAACUCGAGACAGGUGGGUUUCCCAACCGAGGUAAUAAUGGUACCAAGGUUUGGUGGUGGUGAUUUUGUGUUACAGAGGAGAGAGAUAGUGUGGGUGUAUAAAAAUAUGGGAGGGAUGAGAGAGAGGAUGAGGGGACUGCCAUUGGGAAACGGAAGAGAUAAUAGAGCCUUCGUUACCUCUUUCCUCCAUAAGAUACGCACAGAUUCUAAAGCAAAUCCUAUGGAGGAAAAGUUAUGAGUAGUGCAGCUACUAUACUCAUAAGCUAGUGUUUGGUUGGGGGUUAAGGGGUGAAAUAACCCUUUAACCCCCAACUUAUUCCCAAACACAUCAAAUAAAGGGUGGGGUUAGCUAACCCCACCCCACCCCACUACUCCAAUCAAACAAAAUAUUAUUUUACCCACUAUCCUUCUUAUCCCACCUAUUCCAACCAAACACUAUUUUUCUUAAUCCUGAACUAACUGCAUCCUCCAACCAAACACAAAAAAAUACUCUAACCCCACCUUAACCCUGAAUUUAAUCAUAUCCCUGGAAUAACUAGAUUUUUCUUAACCCCGAACCAAACGGUUAAGAGUAUAGUAGCUGCACUAUAUAUAUAUAUAUAUAU